Sinocyclocheilus grahami is the source of this 453-nucleotide long non-coding RNA. RefSeq lists it as uncharacterized. The transcript is spliced from 4 exons. The record is from RefSeq and is a predicted model, not a curated record. NCBI's taxonomy places the organism in Eukaryota, Metazoa, Chordata, Actinopteri, Cypriniformes, Cyprinidae.
CCUCGUUCAGGAUGCUGCGUGACAAACGUGACUUUGUUUACAACGCGUGCAGACCGUUUAAAAUACAGAUCCUGGAGAUGACAGCUCAGUGACUGUUUUAUAAAUCUAACUGAACGGCACAUAUUCCGACCCAUUAACAAACAGAAUAGACACAUGCUGCGAUAAAUGCAGGAAACGAGUGACCUGCGACUCACUGUAACCUUAAUUUUUCUGCAGCACAUUAACCAGAGGCUGAAACACAGAAACAGCUUGAAGGCCACAAGCUCGACUUCAACAGCAUACGGGAUGUGUUUGGACAGAAGCAGAGCUCUGGGACGUGUGGACAGACUUUGACUGUAAUGAUAGACGUCUGCUCAAGGACAGAAGCAUAACCGCUGCUGGACAUCGCUCUGGGUCUCAGGGGGGGACCCGAAUCAUCCUCACCCCUUCAUUCACACAACACUCACUCAUAUC